CCUCAUGCAUAACAAGAGUAAUAUCUACGGGCCUCUUGAUGGAAUAUGACUGAUAAAAUGCGUGGCCACGCCGAACUAAGUCAAUAUGAGAUAUUGAGCUUAUUCGUUACUCAGUAUAUUCUGGGAUCAAGAAAUAAGAUAUUGAACCAUACAAGGAUGACAUGAUCUAUGCCUUGUGUUCAAUAUAGAUAUAAGGGCAAAGGGGUAAUUAUACACACAAUCGUUAUCAUGAAAGGUUU
Molecule: long non-coding RNA, 239 nt
Filed under: Trifolium pratense (red clover)
Lineage: Eukaryota; Viridiplantae; Streptophyta; Magnoliopsida; Fabales; Fabaceae
Description: long non-coding RNA (TPRA_LNC006846)
Source: RNAcentral